Molecule: ribosomal RNA, 1253 nt
Filed under: Lodderomyces parapsilosis
Lineage: Eukaryota; Fungi; Ascomycota; Pichiomycetes; Serinales; Debaryomycetaceae
Description: Candida parapsilosis partial small subunit ribosomal RNA
Rfam family: Eukaryotic small subunit ribosomal RNA
Source: RNAcentral
GUGGGCUGCCUGUCUAUGUAUAGCAUUAUACAGUGAAACUGCGAAUGGCUCAUUAAAUCAGUUAUCGUUUAUUUGAUAGUACCUUACUACUUGGAUAACCGUGGUAAUUCUAGAGCUAAUACAUGCUUAAAAUCCCGACUGUUUGGAAGGGAUGUAUUUAUUAGAUAAAAAAUCAAUGCCUUCGGGCUCUUUGAUGAUUCAUAAUAACUUUUCGAAUCGCAUGGCCUUGUGCUGGCGAUGGUUCAUUCAAAUUUCUGCCCUAUCAACUUUCGAUGGUAGGAUAGUGGCCUACCAUGGUUUCAACGGGUAACGGGGAAUAAGGGUUCGAUUCCGGAGAGGGAGCCUGAGAAACGGCUACCACAUCCAAGGAAGGCAGCAGGCGCGCAAAUUACCCAAUCCCGACACGGGGAGGUAGUGACAAUAAAUAACGAUACAGGGCCCUUUCGGGUCUUGUAAUUGGAAUGAGUACAAUGUAAAUACCUUAACGAGGAACAAUUGGAGGGCAAGUCUGGUGCCAGCAGCCGCGGUAAUUCCAGCUCCAAAAGCGUAUAUUAAAGUUGUUGCAGUUAAAAAGCUCGUAGUUGAACCUUGGGCUUGGCUGGCCGGUCCAUCUUUUUUGAUGCGUACUGGACCCAGCCGAGCCUUUCCUUCUGGCUAGCCUUUUUGGCGAACCAGGACUUUUACUUUGAAAAAAUUAGAGUGUUCAAAGCAGGCCUUUGCUCGAAUAUAUUAGCAUGGAAUAAUAGAAUAGGACGUUAUGGUUCUAUUUUGUUGGUUUCUAGGACCAUCGUAAUGAUUAAUAGGGACGGUCGGGGGUAUCAGUAUUCAGUAGUCAGAGGUGAAAUUCUUGGAUUUACUGAAGACUAACUACUGCGAAAGCAUUUACCAAGGACGUUUUCAUUAAUCAAGAACGAAAGUUAGGGGAUCGAAGAUGAUCAGAUACCGUCGUAGUCUUAACCAUAAACUAUGCCGACUAGGGAUCGGUUGUUGUUCUUUUAUUGACGCAAUCGGCACCUUACGAGAAAUCAAAGUCUUUGGGUUCUGGGGGGGAAUAUGGUCGCAAGGCUGAAACUUAAAGGAAUUGACGGAAGGGCACCCCCCGGGAAUGGAACCUGCGGGUUAAUUUGACUCAACACGGGGAAAAUCACCCGGGCCCAAACCAAUAAGGAUUGACAAAUGAGAACUCUUUCUUGUUUUUGUGGGGGGGGGGGGGGAGGGCCCUCUUUUUUGGGGGGGGGGGAAUUGUUUGGGCU